Molecule: ribosomal RNA, 707 nt
Filed under: uncultured bacterium
Lineage: Bacteria
Description: bacterial SSU rRNA
Rfam family: Bacterial small subunit ribosomal RNA
Source: RNAcentral
CGGACGGGUGAGUAUGUCUGGGAACUGCCCGAUGGAGGGGGAUAACUACUGGAAACGGUAGCUAAUACCGCAUAAUGUCGCAAGACCAAAGAGGGGGACCUUCGGGCCUCUUGCCAUCGGAUGUGCCCAGAUGGGAUUAGCUAGUAGGUGGGGUAACGGCUCACCUAGGCGACGAUCCCUAGCUGGUCUGAGAGGAUGACCAGCCACACUGGAACUGAGACACGGUCCAGACUCCUACGGGAGGCAGCAGUGGGGAAUAUUGCACAAUGGGCGCAAGCCUGAUGCAGCCAUGCCGCGUGUAUGAAGAAGGCCUUCGGGUUGUAAAGUACUUUCAGCGAGGAGGAAGGUGUUGAGGUUAAUAACCUCAGCAAUUGACGUUACUCGCAGAAGAAGCACCGGCUAACUCCGUGCUAGCAGCCGCGGUAAUACGGAGGGUGCAAGCGUUAAUCGGAAUUACUGGGCGUAAAGCGCACGCAGGCGGUCUGUCAAGUCGGAUGUGAAAUCCCCGGGCUCAACCUGGGAACUGCAUCCGAAACUGGCAGGCUAGAGUCGUUGUAGAGGGGGGUAGAAUUCCAGGUGUAGCGGUGAAAUGCGUAGAGAUCUGGAGGAAUACCGGUGGCGACGCGGCCCCCUGGACAAAGACUGACGCUCAGGUGCGAAAGCGUGGGGAGCAAACAGAUUAGAUACCCUGGUAGUCCACGCCGUAA